Molecule: ribosomal RNA, 253 nt
Filed under: uncultured bacterium
Lineage: Bacteria
Description: partial 16S ribosomal RNA
Rfam family: Bacterial small subunit ribosomal RNA
Source: RNAcentral
UACGGGGGGGGCAAGCGUUGUUCGGAAUUACUGGGCGUAAAGGGCUCGUAGGCGGCCAACUAAGUCAGACGUGAAAUCCCCAGGCUCAACCUGGGAACUACGUCUGAUACUGGAUGGCUUGAAUCCGGGAGAGGGAUGCAGAAUUCCAGGUGUAGCGGUGAAAUGCGUAGAUAUCUGGAGGAAUACCGGUGGCGAAGGCGGCAUCCUGGACCGGCAUUGACGCUGAGGAGCGAAAGCCAGGGGAGCAAACGGG